RNAcentral lists this ribosomal RNA (141 nucleotides) under uncultured bacterium. RNAcentral's name for it is "partial 16S rRNA". It matches the Rfam family "Bacterial small subunit ribosomal RNA", at positions 355 to 511 of the family's 1533-position model. The record is from RNAcentral.
UGGAGAAUUUUCCGCAAUGGGCGAAAGCCUGACGGAGCAAUGCCGCGUGGAGGUGGAAGGCCUACGGGUCGUCAACUUCUUUUCUCGGAGAAGAAACAAUGACGGUAUCUGAGGAAUAAGCAUCGGCUAACUCUGUGCCAG